Molecule: ribosomal RNA, 435 nt
Filed under: uncultured bacterium
Lineage: Bacteria
Description: partial 16S ribosomal RNA
Rfam family: Bacterial small subunit ribosomal RNA
Source: RNAcentral
GAUGAACGCUGGCGGUAUGCUUAACACAUGCAAGUCGAACGGACUCUUCGGAGUUAGUGGCGGACGGGUGAGUAACGCGUGAGAAUCUGGCUUUGGGUUCGGGACAACCACUGGAAACGGUGGCUAAUACCGGAUGUGCCGAGAGGUAGAAGAGAAAUUGCCUGAAGAUGAGCUCGCGUCUGAUUAGCUAGUUGGUGAGGUAAAGGCUCACCAAGGCAGCGAUCAGUAGCUGGUCUGAGAGGAUGACCAGCCACACUGGGACUGAGACACGGCCCAGACUCCUACGGGAGGAAGCAGGGGGGAAUUUUCCGCAAUGGGCGAAAGCCUGACGGAGCAAUACCGCGUGAGGGAAGAAGGCUCUUGGGUUGUAAACCUCUUUUCUUAGGGAAGAACAAAAUGACGGUACCUAAGGAAUCAGCAUCGGCUAACUCCGUG